RNAcentral lists this ribosomal RNA (492 nucleotides) under uncultured bacterium. RNAcentral describes it as "partial 16S ribosomal RNA". It matches the Rfam family "Bacterial small subunit ribosomal RNA", at positions 29 to 507 of the family's 1533-position model. The record is from RNAcentral.
AUUGAACGCUGGCGGCAUGCUUUACACAUGCAAGUCGAACGGUAACAGGCCUUCGGGUGCUGACGAGUGGCGAACGGGUGAGUAAUGCAUCGGAACGUACCCAGAGGUGGGGGAUAACGCGGCGAAAGCUGUGCUAAUACCGCAUGUGAUCUGAGGAUGAAAGCGGGGGACCGAGCAGCAAUGUUUGGCCUCGCGCCUUUGGAGCGGCCGAUGUCGGAUUAGCUAGUUGGUGGGGUAAAGGCCUACCAAGGCGACGAUCCGUAGCUGGUCUGAGAGGACGACCAGCCACACUGGGACUGAGACACGGCCCAGACUCCCACGGGAGGCAGCAGUGGGGAAUUUUGGACAAUGGGCGCAAGCCUGAUCCAGCAAUGCCGCGUGCGGGAAGAAGGCCUUCGGGUUGUAAACCGCUUUUGGCAGGAACGAAACGGUGUCCGCUAAUACCGGGCGCUAAUGACGGUACCUGCAGAAUAAGCACCGGCUAACUACGUG